UUGGAGGGCAAGUCUGGUGCCAGCAGCCGCGGUAAUUCCAGCUCCAAUAGCGUAUAUUAAAGUUGUUGCAGUUAAAAAGCUCGUAGUUGAAUUUCGGAAUCAAUUUGUUGGUCGUGCCUCGGUACGUACUGGUAUUAUUGGUUUCUACCUUCUGAAGAACCUUGAUGUCAUUAAUUUGGUGUCUUGGGGAAUCAGGACUGUUACUUUGAAAAAAUUAGAGUGUUUAAAGCAAGCAUACGCUUGAAUACAUUAGCAUGGAAUAAUGAAAUAGGACGUUUGAUUCUAUUUUGUUGGUUUCUAGGAUCGACGUAAUGAUUAAUAGGGAUAGUUGGGGGCAUUAGUAUUCAAUUGUCAGAGGUGAAAUUCUUGGAUUUAUUGAAGACUAACUACUGCGAAAGCAUUUGCCAAGGAUGUUUUCAUUAAUCAAGAACGAAAGUUAGGGGAUCGAAGACGAUCAGAUACCGUCGUAGUCUUAACCAUAAACUAUGUCGACUAGGGAUCGGAUGAUGUUAAUUUUUUAAUGACUCAUUCGGCGCCUUACGGGAAACA
Molecule: ribosomal RNA, 549 nt
Filed under: uncultured Glomus
Lineage: Eukaryota; Fungi; Glomeromycota; Glomeromycetes; Glomerales; Glomeraceae
Description: SSU rRNA
Rfam family: Eukaryotic small subunit ribosomal RNA
Source: RNAcentral